Long non-coding RNA from Mesocricetus auratus (golden hamster), 455 nucleotides. RefSeq lists it as uncharacterized. The record is from RefSeq and is a predicted model, not a curated record. The transcript has 3 exons. NCBI's taxonomy places the organism in Eukaryota, Metazoa, Chordata, Mammalia, Rodentia, Cricetidae.
CACAUCAGACAGCUCACAACUGCCUGUAACUCCAGCUCUCCAGUGGAUCUGAUAAUCUCUUCUGGUGCCCAUGAGGACUUGCACUCAGAUGAAGUGUGCCCUCUGCCUUUCCACCUCUGCCCAGAGUCGAAGCAGCACGUGAUUGGUGCAGCAGGAAUGAGGGCAGUCUAAAGAGACACUUGCUUCCCCAUCCGACUGGCAGACAACCGAGAGAGUGGACCCCUCCAGGCAAUGUGAAUCUCCCCAGGAAUCUCACCCUGGGAGAAGGAAGAGGCACCAGACAGAGGACACCUCCUGGGAAGAGACACACAGAGCUAUGAUAGCUUCCACAGUACUGGGGCUGGUUUACAGUUCAGAGAUCCUGUCCAUUGUGGUCGUGGUGUGACGUGGCAGCAUGCAGGCAGACAUGAUGCUGGAGAAGGAGCUGACAGCUCUACUUCUGGAUCCUCAGGCAG